AGGACGAACGCUGGCGGCGUGCUUAACACAUGCAAGUCGAACGAUGAAGCCUUUCGGGGUGGAUUAGUGGCGAACGGGUGAGUAACACGUGGGCAAUCUGCCCUUCACUCUGGGACAAGCCCUGGAAACGGGGUCUAAUACCGGAUAAUACUUCUGCCUGCAUGGGUGGGGGUUAAAAGCUCCGGCGGUGAAGGAUGAGCCCGCGGCCUAUCAGCUUGUUGGUGAGGUAGUGGCUCACCAAGGCGACGACGGGUA
RNAcentral lists this ribosomal RNA (255 nucleotides) under uncultured soil bacterium. RNAcentral describes it as "partial 16S ribosomal RNA". It matches the Rfam family "Bacterial small subunit ribosomal RNA", at positions 26 to 285 of the family's 1533-position model. The record is from RNAcentral.